AGAGUUAGCAUGCUCAGAAGUGAGCUUUUAUUGGGGGGACCCCCAUUCUUUAGAAAAUUCCAUCCAAAAAAGGUCAAGAGGGGUAGGGUUACAAGGACAGGUCAGGUAAUUCGACCCCUGGGGCUGCAGGAGGCCACGGCUAUGCAUGAAGACACAUUCUGCUACUUCAAGGAUUGGGGCAGCAUCUUAGGCCACUACGAAAGUGACCAGGUCACUACGAAAGUGACCAACAGAGCCUCUUCCAAUCAUGGGAAGGAAAAUGCUAGUCAUUCAGUGUGACGGUCCCCCACAUGGUGGUAAAGUCCAAGGUAGAAGAGGAUAAAACUACAGAUGUAAACAGUCGUGGAACAUCUGAGAAAGUGGCAGACAUUUGUGGAAGUGUUUUGCAGAGGUACUGCUUCUAAUCAAACAAGCUGUGUGAACUUGAGAUUCCAAGCCAUCACCUACAGGACAGAAAGCAUCCAGUGCUGACUCCAGUACUCACACUGGUCCCAGUUAAAUGGGCAGGAACUGUAAAUUAUAAACUUGAGAGUUAAGACCCAUUACCUCCACUUCAAGCCUGGGGAUACUGGCCUGUUGGAUGCCUAACACCUAAAACUUGGAGAUGAAAGUAGAGGAAGAAGGUGGCCAAGAAAAGCAGCCAGCCUUUUGACCCUUUCCCUCUAAGGACAGCCAGGACCCAGAGAAUGACAGGACCCCUCUCUGGGUCCUGUAGCCCUGGUGAGUCACCUGAUCUGCUCAUCAGAGGGACGGAAAGAACCUCAGAGAACAGGAAGCCAACCAGUGCAUGUUCUGCAAAGAGGAGGGUCAUUGAGAGGGAAAUGGCCCUGGCCUUGGGGGCACUGAUGUGGCUCUCAGGAAGUGAGUGAGUUCCCCAGAGGGUGGGUUGUGGCUGUAUCCCCAGGGGCUCUCUGCAGGAGCUUCUGCCACGGUGACCCUCCUCCAUGUGGCCCUCACCGGAGCCCAGCAGAUGCCCACCUUUUUUGGCCCUUGCCCUCUAAGGACAGCCCAUGCUCUGGGCCUCCAGACUGUGAACCAAACUCCUUCCUUUUUAAGUGUCCUGCUUCAGAUAUUUUGUCACCACAGAAAACAGACUCAGUUAGUGCAGGAUUCUCCACCCAAGAUCAGAGAGUGCGGCCCCACCCUGCGGCCCGGGGGACAGCCCUCCAGCUGUUGGUCCUCCAUGGUGCCAGAGGGCCUCCCCAGCCCAGGCCCUCCCUGGGCCUCUUGUCCAGUUCCUGAGCGCUCAUCUCUUCCUGGUGGCUCCUCCCCACGAUCCCACAGCACUGUCAGGAUGAGGCAGGGCGUGGAGGGCUGACGGGCCCCCACCUGCUGACUUGUGGUCCUGAGUGGUGUGAGCAGUGGGCAGCCAACGGCUGUCUAUGCCUCGGAGGACAGGACCGGGGCAGUGGCAGCACUCUGCGCUCAGGAGGACUCCUGCAUGAGGCUCCCUCCUGCUCCCCCUCAUCCUGUCUGCCUCUGGAGACCAGCUGGUGCUCAUGAUGUACAGCAGAGGGACCAGGCAAGUGCGCAGGCAGCCUAGAUGGCUCACUGGCUGCUGGGUCCUCUGGCCCUGAAAGCUCAUCACCCAGCAAGAAUCAGGCCCCUGGACCCACACCUGCUUCCUGUACUUGGCCUCAGGGCCCUUGCACCACGACCCCCAGAACCUUGAGGCCCUGAGGUGUCUGUAUCUUAUUCUUCUCUACUAUGGAGCCUGAGGCCCAGGUGAGCACCAUGGCCUCAGCUCUGUCGCCCUCACAGGCACUGUGGCCACUGUCCACCUGGUCACUCAAUGGUCCCACCACUUUGUUCCUGUGGAGGGCAUGUGCUCAACUACAGAUCACCUCUGCCUGCUGACAACUCUGCCUGUGGAUGACUGGGACCAAGUUUGUGUUCCACAGAGUCGGAGAAUGAACGCCGUGGACAGCCAAGGGAAGCAAUUUUAUUUAAGAGGGUAAUGGAGGACGGCCUCUCCCAAGAGGAGGGUGCCUGAGGGAGGGGCGCCCUGCUCUUCUUAGCCCUCAGACUUCGCUCUUUCAUUACUAAUUGUCUUUUUUUCUUCCCUGAAUAUGGGCCUAGGACUGUGAGCACGAAAGUCUUUUGAAAAAUAACCUCAGCUACUCUUUGAUCUUUCUUUGAAAAACAAUCGUGUCCUCUCGCCCCUCAUUACUUUUACCCAUGUCGGCUGCCUGAUUUGAAAACGGUUGUUAGCCAAUUUUCUCUUACCAGACCCUGGUCAUUCUUACCCACACUGACCACCGGACCUGUUCCCCAGCACUGGCAUGGGGAAGAAAGGUGACCCUGUUUCCCUGAGAUGAGGGAGGGGGAGAGACUGGGGAGGAGCAGGACAGGAAGAGGAAGAAGCGUGUCCUUUGAAUACAACAGCAAAGGCUGUUCUCAGGGGGCAGUGGUCACCCUGCCAUGGUGUCUCUGUGUGCUGCUGGCUGCUCAGGACCUCAUCAGAAAAGCUUGGGUGUGUCUCCCAGGGAUGUGGGAGGACCCCUAGGUCAGCCCGGACACUGAGCCACCUCCACCCUAGGCACAGGUGCUAUUUCACCCCACGCAUAGGUGCCACCUUCUGGCACCCUCUUCACCCAGGAGAACUGCCGCAGGUGGGGACAGGAGCAGGGCCCUAACCUUCCAUCUGGAACUCAAACAUGGGCCCCACAGUUCGCCCUGUUCCUGCCCGAGCAGCCCCUGGCCCUCUGCUCCACGCAUCCUGGGCUUCUUGUCCAGGAGCAUGGCCCCCCUGCUGCGGGUGCCACUUCAAAAUUCACGUUGAAGUAAAGAGGUGGGGACUCUGGGAGUGCUUGGUGGCUCUGUCCCAUGGGCAGAGUGGUGCCUGUGCUGGCUGAGGCCCUUCUUCCCUCCCCCAUCCCGCCACACGAGGGCACGGCGAGGAGGCACCCUCUGAACAGCCUUCUCCAGACACUCCGCCCUGCUGCCACCUUGAGCUUGGCCUUUCCUGCCCCCACCGCUGAGCAACACUCUGCUGGUGCCUCUGAAGGACGGAGUCUAUUACAGCAGCACCUAGGCUGAGACACCCCGAUCCGGGCACUUCAUCCUCAGCCCAAGUGGGAGGCUUGGACCUCGGAAUCCUCAGGGCCACUUUCAAAGCAGCUCAGAGCCCUGGUGGUUAAGUCAGUCUGUGCUGGGGCCUGUGCAGGUGGACAGGACCUGUAGCACGCCGGCACGGGCAGGCAGACACCCGGGGAUGGAAGGGAGGAGGGCCUGCGGGGCGCUGGCUGCCAGGACAGGACGGCAAGAUCUCACCCGAGAAGGAGACGCAUGCCGCCCGCCCCCCUCCCCGGGAGCCUGCAUGCUGACUCCCCCGAACAAGCAGAGCCUGCAGAGCCGCUGGGCUCUGAGGGCACGGGCUGGGGCUGGGAGGCCUGGCAGGCCAAGGCACAGGGAAGGGACCGCGUGUGUAAAGUCUUCCCCCAAAUCAUGUUGGUUCCAGAACCAGGUGGUACUGCUGGCAGAGCGGCAGGAGGGUUGGAGACAGGAAAGGGUGUGUAGGAGGCCCCGCCUCAGGCACCCACCCAGGGGUCCACCAGGCCCAGUCAGUGAUCCAGAGGGAAGGCAUUUCAGUGCAAUGCUGCAGCGGAUGGCCACCUGCUUUAUUCAAUCAAUCAAUCAAUUAAUUAAUUAUUAUUAUUGGUAUUGGAGACUGAACCCAGGGAUGCUUAACCACUGAGUCACAUCCCCAGUCCUUGGCUGGUCUUGAACUUGUGAUCCUCCUGCCUCAGCCUCCUGAGCUAUUGGGAUUACCUGUUUUUAUAAAUAAAGAUUUAUUGGAACAAGA
Long non-coding RNA from Marmota monax (woodchuck), 3805 nucleotides. RefSeq lists it as uncharacterized. Lineage: Eukaryota; Metazoa; Chordata; Mammalia; Rodentia; Sciuridae. The transcript is spliced from 2 exons. The record is from RefSeq and is a predicted model, not a curated record.